Molecule: long non-coding RNA, 5245 nt
Filed under: Brassica napus (rape)
Lineage: Eukaryota; Viridiplantae; Streptophyta; Magnoliopsida; Brassicales; Brassicaceae
Description: long non-coding RNA (BNAP_LNC007112)
Source: RNAcentral
UCAUCUCAAGCUUUCUACUUAUCUUUUCCUCCACCAUCACUGUUGACUCAUCAGAACCGUCGUGUCGAAGUUAUAAAUCGAUCAUCAGCUUCGGUGAUUCCGGCGCCGACACUGGAAAUUAUCUCCACCUCUCCGACGUCAAUCAUCCUCCUCAAGCCGCCUUUCCUCCUUAUGGAGAAACCUUCUUCCAUGCUCACACCGGCCGUAACUCCGACGGCCGCCUCAUCAUCGAUUUCAUCGGUACCUAAACCUUUCCUCUGUUAUCUUUUAGGUCUUUCUUGCUUGGACACCAAGUUAGAAACCCUACUUGCUUUGUUUGUUAUCCUCUGCUUUUAGGUAGUACUUGCUUGGACAGCAAGUUAGAAACCCUACUUGCUCCCUUUUUGUGAUAUUGUGUUCAUUUUGGUUUAUGUAACAGCUGAGUUCUUGGGACUACCAUAUGUACCACCUUAUUUUGGUUCCAAAAACGUGAGCGUCAAGCAAGGGAUCAAUUUCGCGGUGUAUGGAGCAACAGCUUUGGACUGUGCCUUGCUUAUCUCAACAUAUACCCUAUUUACACUCUAUAUCCUAUUUCCCCCCAAUUUUUUUCCCCCCAUCAUCACCAUUUUCCCACAACUCUAUGGUAUCUCACUUCUUUUUGGAUAUUGAGCUAAUUUACUCUUGGAAAUAAGAGUAUCAGAAAUAAAUUUUAAAGUGAUGAAAUGAAAAAAAUGAAUCCAAAAGAGAGAUAAGCUUUGGCACACAAACCAAAGCCUAGAAAAGGACGUCCAAAAUCUCUGCUAGUUCCCAAUGCAAUUAUUUAGUUAUAUAGUCACAGUUUCUUCGAUCUAUGGUAUGGUAUAGUACCUACUUUAGAUUAUGACAUUAGAUAUGUUCUCUUAUGGUUACAAUUAGAUAUGGUCUCUUAUGGUUACAAGAAAUUGAUCUGUUGCAACUCGUUCGUUUUUGACAAAAUGGUUUUAGACCAUUUUCUGGUAAGUUUCCGGACGAACAUCAGAAUAACCAAAUGUUUGACAAACACUUUGAACAGUGUAUUCACGUGUCAAAAACAAUGUUCGUUUGAAUAAAAAAUGUUGGUCCAAAACCAUUCACUUGAAAGCUUAUAAGUUUGACUAUUUAACUAUGUUUAAAAACUAGUAAAUGUCCCAUAUAAAAUAUGAGGUGAGAGUCGUCUUGUUUAUAUACGGAGAAGUAUGAAUAUAUUAUGGUAUACUGGUAGAAAGAUAUAGUGAAUUAAAAUGUGUUCGCACAUAGAACUGAGUUAACCAAAUUAAAUUUUGAAUAGACUGGUUUGGAAGUAAAAAUUAAUUUGAUAAAUAGACAACUAGUCUAAUGACCUAAUAAUUCUUUGGGUCAAAUUCAAAUUAAUUUUAUGAUGCAGGAAUAUAUUUGCCAUUGAUGAUAAGAAACAUUGCCAUUGACCUUGUCUUAAUUGUUGAUCAAAAUUUAUUAUUUUGAAUCAGUGUUGCAUACGUUGUGUUAUAUACUUCUCCCAUAUUACAGUAGAUAUACAAAACAACAAAUCUCUUUCUCCGUGUUGAGUAGUUAUGUUUUUUUUUUGUCCGAGAGUACAACACAAAAUUAUGUUCAAUAGAUUAUGUUUUUUUGAUGAUUGUAAACAGAAACAAUGCUGCUGGAGUUGUAUUCUGAAAAUCUGAACUCUAUAAAACUAUCACACUACGGGACGUUUAAAGAUAUAAAAAAAAGGUUAACCUUCUCGACUCUGCAAUUUUUAUUUAUUCUUAAAUUUUGGUAUUGUAAUUUUAAUUUAUGUUUCUAUUAUUUUUUACAAAUAUCAGUUGUCCAAUAUAGUAAAAUAAAGUUUCUGCAUGAUCUGCUUCACAGGUUUUUUAUUCAUUUACCCAACAUAUCAAAUAUGCAAACUUGAUACAUACACAAUCUUUCGAGAUUAUGUAUAAUCAAAACUUCUGAUGCCAAAAGAAAAAAUCCAAGCUCUUGAAAUUAUAGCCUACUCAUGAUAUAGCCUAUAUUUAUAUUCCUAUGCAAAAUUUCAAAAUCUAACCUCUAGAAAAUAAUACAAGUUUUACUACCAAAAUAAAAUAAUAUUUAAAUAUACUUAAAAUGUUAUAAUAUGUUUCAUUUCAGUGAGGGGGAUCUCGUGGAAAAUUUAAAUAUUUUAUAUAUUGUGGGUUAGGUAAGGAAUCCAUUUUCUUAAGUCAUCCACUUUUAUGGGAAAAAUGCAAGAGAAUCUUUUAGUAUUUUUUAUUUUAACGAUAUUUCUGAUCAGCAUCGAAGAUCCAAUCUUUUAGUAGUGGAGGUUGCAACUGGUCUGGACAUUUACGAAGUUACUUCCCUUUCAACCAAUAAAAACGACCCAUUCUGCCAGUUCACUCUUACUUACUAUUGAGGAAAUAAAUAUAAAUAGAACUCAUCAACUGACUCAACUCUUCACUAUUUAUCACCCAAAAAAAGAAGAAGUACCAAAGUUGAGUUGACAAAGACAACGACACGACUGUCCGAUGGCUUCUCCAUUGAAGAAGCUCAUCUCAACCUUUUUGUUUCUCCUAUCCUCCACUGUCAUCAUGGUUGCCUCAUCAGAACCACUGUGUCAUCCUUAUAAAUCGAUCAUAAGCUUCGGUGAUUCCAUCGCCGACACUGGAAAUUAUCUACGUCUCUCCGACGUCAAUCAUCUUCCUCAAGCCGCAUUUCUACCUUACGGCGAAACCUUCUUCCAUCCUCCCUCUGGCCGUUACUCCGAUGGCCGUCUUAUCAUAGACUUCAUCGGUACCUACUUUUUUCCCUCUCUCUGUUUCAUACAUUUAGGCAAAACCACUUGUUCUCCCAGGGCCGGUCAACAUUUUCAUGAAUCUUAAAAAAAAAAAUCAAAUUCUUAAAAUUUAAGCUUAUUUAAGUAUUUUUUGGGGUUCUCUGUUCAACCAAAUAUGUUGAUAUUUAAUUUUUUUUUAUAAAAUAUGUAUAUAUAUAUAUAUAUAUAUAUAUAUAUAUAUAUAUAAAGCCCCUCAUAACUAUUUAAGUUAUGGGCAAUUUGGUCCAUAAUCUCAUCUGGUACAUGUAGGCUGUAGCUAACUGUUGGUACUACCACAUUUAAGACAUAACUCACUAUACUGUCUCAAAUAAGGUUGAACUAAUGACAAUGUAUAGUCUCACAACCACUAGAUCAGUAAUUACUUUGGUCGGUCUUUCUUGCUUGAGCAGCAAGUUAAAAACCCUACUUGCUUCUGAGUAUCUGUCUUUGUCUUAACAGCUGAGUUCUUGGGACUACCAUACGUACCACCUUAUUUCGGAUCUCAAAACGUGAGCUUCGAGCAAGGGAUUAAUUUUGCGGUGUAUGGAGCAACGGCCUUGGAUCGUGCAUUUCUUAUGGAAAAAGGAAUUAAAUCUGAUUUCACCAAUGUUAGUUUAAAUGUUCAGCUUAACACAUUCAAGCAGAUUUUACCUAACCUCUGCGCCUCGACUUCUCGUGGUUAGAAACAUAGUCUUGUUUUCCUUUUUUAUUCAAUAGUCUUUAAGAUGAAUGGAGCUUGCUUCUGACUGUUUUGGUGUAGAUUGUAGAGAGAUGCUUGGAGACUCGCUAAUACUCAUGGGAGAGAUUGGUGGGAAUGACUAUAAUUACCCCUUCUUCGAAGGCAAAAGUAUCAAUGAGAUCAAAGAGCUUGUUCCUCUAAUCAUCAAAACUAUUUCUUCAGCAAUUGUGGUAACAUAUCAUUACUUUUCUCUGUUGUAUGUGUGUUUAAUUUUUUCUUAUAACAAAUUUGGCAACAAAUUAAAACUACAGGAUUUGGUAGAUUUGGGAGGCAAGACCUUUUUGGUACCUGGAAACUUUCCAAUAGGAUGUUCUGCGUCGUAUCUUACUCUAUUUCAUAAUGCAAAAGAAGAAGAACAUGACCCUUUCACUGGUUGUAUCCCAUGGCUCAACGAAUUUGGAGAGUACCAUAACGACCAGCUUAAGACAGAACUCAAACGACUACAAAAACUAUACCCUCAUGUUAACAUUAUUUAUGCUGACUACUACAACUCCAUCCACACGUUUUUCCAAGAACCAGCCAAAUACGGUUGGUGCACCAUUAAAAAUAUAUGUUCUUGACCUCACAGUUGUAUUCUUUAACUGAUGUUUUUAUGGAUUAUUGUUUUUUAGGAUUUAAGAACAGACCUUUGGCUGCUUGUUGUGGAGUUGGAGGUAAAUACAACUUCACUGUUAAUGAAGAGUGUGGAUACAGAGGAGUUAACUAUUGUCAAAAUCCAUCUGAGUAUGUAAAUUGGGAUGGUUAUCACUUAACAGAAGCUGCGUACCGCAAGAUCGCUCACGGUUUACUCAAUGGUCCAUAUGCAGCUCCUGCAUUUGAUUGGUCCUGCCCUGGCUCUGCAUCAGUGGAUAAAAAAUAUUCUUUCAGCAGUUAAUAAGAAUUCAUUUGUUGUAAAAAAAAUGAAGUAAAAAACAUUUAGUAACGAAAUGAUGAUGAUGAUGAUGAUGAUGAUAAUAAUGAUUAACAAGAACGCUGAGAGAGCAUAAUCAUUUUCAAUUUAUUUUGAAAUUUAACAAUUCAUUGUCAUCAAUUGAUAAGCAUGCAGUUGACAAAACGAACUGACAAGCAUGCAUAAACGUUAUCUUUAUGAAAUAAGAAGUCUAAAAAAUUAUUUUUUCUUUUACAAAACGGAUGAAAUAUAAAUAAUUAUUUUAGACUGCAGCUCCAUGACCAUUCCCAAUGUUUUGACGAGUUUGGUACAUCGAUUUUAGUGAUGUUUUAUAAAGUCAAAGAUAGUGUGAGAUGGUGCUUUUAAUCUUUAACUAGACUAGUGUGAUAAAUUUUAGAUCGAACAAACUAUAUAAAAUAAAUUAAAUUACAGAACCGGACUACUUCUUUAUGGGCAGAUGAUAGCUGUCUUUGUCAGACAACAAAUUAUCAAUGCAUCCUGACAAAAGAUAAGAUCCAAUAACUAAUGGCUGAAGUCUUUGCAUUAUCUGUGGUCGAAAAAAGACUAUAGAGAUCGAGUAAAAGAGACGACUCUAUCUUCACAUGGCUUCUUCACUGAAGAAGCUCAUCUCAAGCUUUCUACUUAUCUUUUCCUCCACCAUCACUGUUGACUCAUCAGAACCGUCGUGUCGAAGUUAUAAAUCGAUCAUCAGCUUCGGUGAUUCCGGCGCCGACACUGGAAAUUAUCUCCACCUCUCCGACGUCAAUCAUCCUCCUCAAGCCGCAUUUCCUCCUUAUGGAGAAACCUUCUUCCAUGCUCCCACCGGCCGUAACUCCGACGGCCGCCUCAU